ACGCAGCUCUCCUUCACUCCCUCACGCAGCUCUCCCUCACUCCCUCACUCCGACUGGCAGCUCUCCCUCACUCCGUCGCCCAUCUCCAGUCACCCAUCUCCAGUCACGCACAGCUCUCCCUCACUCCCUCACGCAGCAUGCAGCACGCAGCUCUCCCUCACUCCCUCACUCCGCAGCUCAUCUCCAGGAACAUUUGGAUGAUAAGCAUCUGAGUCGAUUCUUGGAAGCUGAUACCCUUGUCAAUCUCAACGAAUCCACUUAACGGACCACCUCACUAAUAUAAUAAAGAUCCUAAAAUGGAGAUGGAAGACACAAACAAAUCUGGUUCUUCCUCGCCAAGUGGUUCU
Quercus robur (English oak) is the source of this 347-nucleotide long non-coding RNA. RefSeq lists it as uncharacterized. The record is from RefSeq and is a predicted model, not a curated record. The transcript has 3 exons. NCBI's taxonomy places the organism in Eukaryota, Viridiplantae, Streptophyta, Magnoliopsida, Fagales, Fagaceae.